AACGAACGCUGGCGGCACGUUUUAAGCAUGCAAGUCGAAUGGCAGUGGGGGCAACCCCAUGAGAAUGGCGAACGGGUGAGUAACACUUAGGUGAUCUGCCUGACGGAUGGGGAUAGCUUGUGGGAACACAGGGUAAUACCGAAUGAGCUGACGAGACUUUGGUUUUGUUAGUAAAGGUGCUACGGCACCGCCGACAGAGGAGCCUGCGGCUGAUUAGCUAGUUGGUGGGGUAAAGGCCUACCAAGGCGACGAUCAGUAGCCGGCCUGAGAGGGUGUACGGCCACACUGGAACUGAGACACGGUCCAGACUCCUACGGGAGGCAGCAGCUAAGAAUCUUCCGCAAUGGGCGAAAGCCUGACGGAGCGAUGCCGCGUGAUCGAUGAAGGUCGAGAGAUUGUAAAGAUCUUUUCUACAUGAGGAAUAAGUCUGGGAGGGAAUGCCUGGAUGAUGACGUUAGUGUAGGAAUAAGCCCCGGCUAAUUACGUGCCAGCAGCCGCAGUAA
Molecule: ribosomal RNA, 503 nt
Filed under: uncultured bacterium
Lineage: Bacteria
Description: partial 16S ribosomal RNA
Rfam family: Bacterial small subunit ribosomal RNA
Source: RNAcentral